This 609-nucleotide long non-coding RNA is filed under the name Gallus gallus (chicken). Lineage: Eukaryota; Metazoa; Chordata; Aves; Galliformes; Phasianidae. The record is from RNAcentral.
UCUGGGGGCGCCAAAAUCCCAUUUGGGGACCCCAAAUCCCCCAUAGGGACUGCCAAAGCCCACCUGAAGACCCCCAAAAUGAGUCCGGUGACACCAAAAUCCCCCCACGGGGACCCCAAAAUCCCACCUGGGAACCCCAGAAUGAGUCUGGGGGCCCCAAAAUCCCCCAUGGAGACCCCAAAUUCCCCACAGGGACCCCAAAAUCCCCCCUUGGGGCCCCCCAAGAUGCCACGGGGAGCCCUCACUGCAUCCCAAGGACCCCUUUUUUUGGGGGGUAUAUUAAUGGGAUUUGGGGGGGCUGUCUUAAAAAGGGGUUUAUGAGACUUUAUGGGUCCCCCCUCCCCCCCCCCAAAAAAAAGAAAAGACACUGCUGUGGAAAUGGGCUGAAAUGAGUAAAAAUGAACCGUUUUUUGCUUUAUUUACCCCAAAAUCCCCCCCCACCCCCCCCAACCCCAUAACACAGACAGACAAUGGGGAUUGAAUGGGGGGCGGCACACAUUGGGGUCCCCCCACCCCUAACGAACCCUGCGAGGGGUGGGGGGAAGGGGGGGGGGAGGUAAUAAAAAUGAUAUAAAAUAGCCCAAAAUGACCCCAAAACCCCAAAAACAG